UUAUGGCUCAGGACGAACGCUGGCGGCGUGCUUCAUACAUGCAAGUCGAACGUGAUGCUAUCUUCGGAUAGUUGAAAGUGGCGGACGGGUGAGUAAUACGUAGGGAAUCUGCCCUAAAGCGGGGGACAACAGUUGGAAACGAUUGCUAAUACCCCAUAUGAGCCUGGUUGAAAUACCAGUCUUGAAAACUCCGGUGCUUUAGGAUGAGCCUGCGGCUGAUUAGCUUGUUGGCGGGGUAAAUGCCCACCAAGGCGACGAUCAGUAGCUGGUUUGAGAGGAUGAUCAGCCACAAUGGGACUGAGACACGGCCCAUACUCCUACGGGAGGCAGCAGUAGGGAAUUUUGCGCAAUGGGCGAAAGCCCUGACGCAGCAACGCCGCGUGAAUGUUAAGCCCUUCGGGGUGUAAAGUUCUGUCAGUGGGGACGAAACUUGGCGGUACCCACAGAGGAAGCACCGGCUAACUCCGUGCCAGCCGCUGC
This 480-nucleotide ribosomal RNA is filed under the name uncultured bacterium. Its description in RNAcentral is "bacterial SSU rRNA". It matches the Rfam family "Bacterial small subunit ribosomal RNA", at positions 17 to 518 of the family's 1533-position model. The record is from RNAcentral.